AGUCAUAUGCUUGUCUCAAGAUUAGCCAUGCAUGUCUCAGUACAAGCCUAAUUAAGGUGAAACCGCGAAAGGCUCAUUAAAUCAGUUAUGGUUCCUUAGAUCGUACCCACAUUUACUUGGAUAACUGUGGUAAUUCUAGAGCUAAUACAUGCAAACAGAGCUCCGACCGGAGACGGAAGGAGCGCUUUUAUUAGAUCAAAACCAAUCGGCGGCGGGCUUGCUCGCUGUCGUACACCUUGGUGAAUCUGAAUAACUUUCUGCUGAUCGCAUGGUCUCGCACCGGCGACGCAUCUUUCAAAUGUCUGCCUUAUCAACUGUCGAUGGUAGGUUCUGCGCCUACCAUGGUUGUAACGGGUAACGGGGAAUCAGGGUUCGAUUCCGGAGAGGGAGCCUGAGAAACGGCUACCACAUCCAAGGAAGGCAGCAGGCGCGCAAAUUACCCACUCCCGGCACGGGGAGGUAGUGACGAAAAAUAACGAUACGGGACUCAUCCGAGGCCCCGUAAUCGGAAUGAGUACACUCUAAACCCUUUAACGAGGAUCAAUUGGAGGGCAAGUCUGGUGCCAGCAGCCGCGGUAAUUCCAGCUCCAAUAGCGUAU
This 599-nucleotide ribosomal RNA is filed under the name Oulimnius troglodytes. RNAcentral's name for it is "SSU rRNA". It matches the Rfam family "Eukaryotic small subunit ribosomal RNA", at positions 22 to 602 of the family's 1831-position model. The record is from RNAcentral. Lineage: Eukaryota; Metazoa; Arthropoda; Insecta; Coleoptera; Elmidae.